UACGGGGGGGGCAAGCGUUGUUCGGAAUUACUGGGCGUAAAGGGCUCGUAGGCGGCCAACUAAGUCAGACGUGAAAUCCCCAGGCUCAACCCGGGAACUGCGUCCGAUACUGGCAGGCUUGAAUUCGGGAGAGGGAUGUGGAAUUCCAGGUGUAGCGGUGAAAUGCGUAGAUAUCUGGAGGAACACCGGUGGCGAAGGCGGCAUCCUGGACCGAUAUUGACGCUGAUGCGCGAAAGCCAGGGGAGCAAGCGGG
This 253-nucleotide ribosomal RNA is filed under the name uncultured bacterium. RNAcentral describes it as "partial 16S ribosomal RNA". It matches the Rfam family "Bacterial small subunit ribosomal RNA", at positions 524 to 776 of the family's 1533-position model. The record is from RNAcentral.